Molecule: long non-coding RNA, 1255 nt
Filed under: Homo sapiens (human)
Lineage: Eukaryota; Metazoa; Chordata; Mammalia; Primates; Hominidae
Description: HSALNT0386106
Source: RNAcentral
AUUAUCUCAAGUCUGAAAAGAACCCAAAGAAGUAGGUGGAGCAGGAAUUUAUAGCCCUGUUUUACAUGUUAGGAAAUCCUUGAUUUAGAGAGGUUAAGAAACCCACCCAAUGUCACACUGUUCCUGUAGAAGGAGGUAAGAAGGCUGAGUUCCUAAAUUCCACUCCAGCUCACCACGUGGUUAUGAUGCCGCAGAGUUCUAUAAGGAAGAUGGACUUCAGAAAAGCAACUAGCACACCAAGCCCCAAUGUUAGGGCCAGAGAUGUGUUGUCUCAGUGGUAGCAGAAGCAAAUGUUAUUAGCUCCACUUUAUAGCUAAGGAAAAUUAAGCCCAGGAAAUGAGUCCAGUGGAAGGAAGGCUUUCAUUCCUUCAUAAAUAUUAAUUCAAUAAUUCAAUAGAGUCUCCAUACCUGCACUGUCUUAGGUGCAGGGAGAUACCAUGAUAAAAGGGCAGACAAUGUUGCUGCCCUCAAGGAGCUGACAUUCUAGUGGAGGAAGACAGAUGCAAAAAGGAAUGUAUGCCCACAUCACACAACUAAAUUGUGGCAUGAUGGAGUUCAACAAAAUAUGGAUACAGAGAGCAAGGUUUGAGGGUAAAUUUAACCAAGGUAGGGUAAUCAGAGGAGCCUGAUCUGAAAAGGCAGGAAUUAAAAUAAGCUCUAAAGGAUUAUUAGAAACUAGGGAGAGAGGAGCUGACUGGUAGAAAUGGGGAGUGUUUCAGGGAGAGCAAAAAGCCCAUUCAAAAACCUCAUGCAAAGAAGAGUUGGGCAAUUUGAAGAAUUGAAAUGAAACUCUAGGACUGGGCACGGAGAAUGUGAAGAAGUGAGGAGGGGUUGGAGCUGGAGAGAUAGGUGGGACUGGAUCCCAUACAACUUGAGUGUUGCUGGAGAUGGCCACUGGAGAGGCUGAGUCAAAUCAAUCUCCUCACCUGAGGACUUCCUAAGACCAGCGCACUGAAGGACCAGCAGCAACAACAACAAUAAUGCUAAUGCUCCCUUAUGGACAAGACUGCAAUUCUCUGCCUGCUGAAGCUCAGCUAUGACCACGUGACUUGCCUUGGCCAAUGAAAGAGGAAGAGUAUGUAACACUGCUGAAUGGAAGCAAGUGGCCCCUGCCCCUGCUGCAGAGAUUCUAGACAUGUGUGCCAUGCUGGAGCAAGGAGACAGGGAGUCCUGGAGAAAGGAGACAUGGAACAGAGCUCCCAGCCCAGUCAAUAUGUAACAUGAGUGAGAAAUAAAUAACACUUUGUUGCUAGAA